Molecule: ribosomal RNA, 391 nt
Filed under: uncultured Desulfocapsa sp.
Lineage: Bacteria; Pseudomonadati; Thermodesulfobacteriota; Desulfobulbia; Desulfobulbales; Desulfocapsaceae
Description: bacterial SSU rRNA
Rfam family: Bacterial small subunit ribosomal RNA
Source: RNAcentral
AAUCAUUUGGAAACAUAUGAGUGCCUCGCAAGAGGAGCCCGAUGACAGGUGCUGCAUGGCUGUCGUCAGCUCGUGUCGUGAGAUGUUGGGUUAAGUCCCGCAACGAGCGCAACCCUUGUCUUUAGUUGCCAUCAUUAAGUUUGGGCACUCUAAGAGACUGCCGGUGUCAAACCGGAGGAAGGUGGGGAUGACGUCAAGUCCUCAUGGCCUUUAUGACCAGGGCUACACACGUACUACAAUGGCAGGUACAAAGGGCAGCCACUUAGCGAUAAGGCGCGAAUCCCAUAAAACCUGUCUCAGUCCGGAUUGGAGUCUGCAACUCGACUCCAUGAAGUUGGAAUCGCUAGUAAUCGCAGAUCAGCACGCUGCGGUGAAUACGUUCCCGGGCCUU